This 268-nucleotide ribosomal RNA is filed under the name Heterosigma akashiwo. RNAcentral's name for it is "partial Bacterial large subunit ribosomal RNA". It matches the Rfam family "Bacterial large subunit ribosomal RNA", at positions 1 to 273 of the family's 2925-position model. Lineage: Eukaryota; Raphidophyceae; Chattonellales; Chattonellaceae. The record is from RNAcentral.
GCAACUAAGCGCAUACGGUGGAUGCCUUGGCAAUUGGAGGCGAUGAAAGACGUUGGAGCCUGCGAAAAGCUCUGGGGAGGUGGCAACCAACCUUUGAUCCAGAGAUGUCUGAAUGGGGAAACCCACCUAUCAUAAGAUAGGUAUCCUUUGACUGAAUACAUAGGUCUUAGGAGGCGAACCAGGGGAACUGAAACAUCUAAGUACCCUUAGGAAAAGAAAUCAACUGAGAUUCCCCAAGUAGCGGCGAGCGAACGGGGAGCAGCCGAGU